GAUGAACGCUGGCGGCGUGCCUAAUACAUGCAAGUCGAGCGAACGGACGAGAAGCUUGCUUCUCUGAUGUUAGCGGCGGACGGGUGAGUAACACGUGGAUAACCUACCUAUAAGACUGGGAUAACUUCGGGAAACCGGAGAUAAUACCGGAUAAUCUUUUGAACCGCAUGGUUCAAAAGUGAAAGACGGUCUUGCUGUCACUUAUAGAUGGAUCUCGGCUGCAUUAGAUAGUUGGUAAGGUAACGGCUUACCAAGGCGACGAUGCAUGGCCGACGGGAUAGGGGGAUCGGCCACAUGAGAGCGGAAACACGGACCAUGCUCCUACGGUAGGCAGCAGUAUGGAACCGUCGGCAAUGGGCGAAAGCAUUACGGAGCAACGCGGAGUGAGUGAUGAAGGUCUUCGGAUCGUAAAGCUCUGUUAUUAGUGAAGAACAGAUGUGUAAGUAACUGUACACAUCUUGACGGUACCUAAUCAGAAAGCCACGGCUAACUACGUG
RNAcentral lists this ribosomal RNA (497 nucleotides) under uncultured bacterium. RNAcentral's name for it is "partial 16S ribosomal RNA". It matches the Rfam family "Bacterial small subunit ribosomal RNA", at positions 28 to 507 of the family's 1533-position model. The record is from RNAcentral.